Molecule: ribosomal RNA, 253 nt
Filed under: uncultured bacterium
Lineage: Bacteria
Description: partial 16S ribosomal RNA
Rfam family: Bacterial small subunit ribosomal RNA
Source: RNAcentral
UACGUAGGGGGCGAGCGUUGUCCGGAGUUACUGGGCGUAAAGGGCAUGCAGGCGGUCCGACACGUUUUGUGUGACAGCGGGUGGCUUAACUACCCGAGGAUGCGAAAGACGGCGGCACUUGAGGGCCAGAGAGGGACACGGAAUUCCGGGUGGAGUGGUGGAAUGCGUAGAGAUCCGGAGGAACACCGGUGGCGAAGGCGGCCUGCUGGGCAGUUGCUGACACUGAGGCGCGACAGCGUGGGGAGCAAACAGG